GCCAUUUUAUCAGUAACCAAUGGGUUUCUGUGCUCCACUGACCUUGAAGUCAAUACCAGUGCCAAGAGCUCACUGUCUGCUGUUUCUUCUUGCAUUAUUGGUUUGAGAACCAUAAAAAUCUUCUGCUUUGGAAUUAGCCCAGUCGGUGUUUUCAUUGCUGAGGGGGCACAGGAUAAUGCUGCUAUCAGCUUCGUUAUUUACUUCAUCUCUGGCUCACUCAGC
RNAcentral lists this long non-coding RNA (222 nucleotides) under Cyanistes caeruleus (blue tit). RNAcentral's name for it is "lncRNA (ENSCCEG00000019504.1)". Lineage: Eukaryota; Metazoa; Chordata; Aves; Passeriformes; Paridae. The record is from RNAcentral.